RNAcentral lists this ribosomal RNA (429 nucleotides) under Pseudomonadota bacterium. Its description in RNAcentral is "Proteobacteria bacterium partial 16S ribosomal RNA". It matches the Rfam family "Bacterial small subunit ribosomal RNA", at positions 355 to 776 of the family's 1533-position model. Lineage: Bacteria; Pseudomonadati; Pseudomonadota. The record is from RNAcentral.
UGGGGAAUAUUGGACAAUGGGCGAAAGCCUGAUCCAGCCAUGCCGCGUGUGUGAAGAAGGUCUUCGGAUUGUAAAGCACUUUAAGUUGGGAGGAAGGGCAGUAAGCGAAUACCUUGCUGUUUUGACGUUACCGACAGAAUAAGCACCGGCUAACUCUGUGCCAGCAGCCGCGGUAAUACAGAGGGUGCAAGCGUUAAUCGGAAUUACUGGGCGUAAAGCGCGCGUAGGUGGUUCGUUAAGUUGCAUGUGAAAGCCCCGGGCUCAACCUGGGAACUGCAUCCAAAACUGGCGAGCUAGAGUAGCGCAGUGGGUGGUGGAAUGUCCUGUGUGGCGGGGAAAUGCGUAAAUAUAGGAAGGAACACCAGUGGCGAAGGCGACCACCUGUGCUCAUACUGACACUGAGGUGCGAAAGCGUGGGGAGCAAACAGG